Molecule: ribosomal RNA, 773 nt
Filed under: uncultured Neocallimastigales
Lineage: Eukaryota; Fungi; Neocallimastigomycota; Neocallimastigomycetes; Neocallimastigales
Description: partial large subunit ribosomal RNA
Rfam family: Eukaryotic large subunit ribosomal RNA
Source: RNAcentral
GAGACUCUGUGCGCGUGCAUAUCAAUAAGCGGAGGAAAAGAAACUAACAAGGAUUCCCUUAGUAACGGCGAGUGAAGCGGGAAGAGCUCAAAUUUGAAAUCUUCAAGGUUCUACCUUGACGAAUUGUAGUUUAUAGAAGUGUUUUCUGUUAGUAGAGUGGCAAAAGUUCUUUGGAAUAGGACAUCAUAGAGGGUGAGAAUCCCGUAUUUGGUCAUUCCUCCUAGCGUUGUGAUACACUUUCAACGGGUCGGAUUGUCUGGGAAUGCAGUCCAAAAUGGGUGGUAAAUUUCAUCUAAAGCUAAAUAUUGGCGAGAGACCGAUAGCGAACAAGUACCGUGAGGGAAAGAUGAAAAGAACUUUGAAAAGAGAGUUAAACAGUACGUGAAAUUGUCAAAAGGGAAGCGUUUGACACCAGUGUUGUUUUUCCGAAAAUCAAUUACGAACGUUUUGUUUUUAAGAAGUUAUGACUUCAUCGGCUUGCUUCUUUCUUUACGAAACUUUCUUAAUGCACUUUUCGGUUAACAAGUCAACAUCAAUUUCUUUUGUUGUAAAAGAGUACGAGGAAGGUGGCUUUCUUUUCGGAGAAAGUGUUUAUAGCCUUGUACCUCUGCAAUCGGAGAGAUUGAGGUCUGCAGCGUAGAUCCUUCGGGGUUAGAUACAUUUGUGCUAAGUUAUAGCUUUUCAUAGACAACUUGUUGACUAUGUUAGUCUUGUAGCUUACUCGCUUAUGCUAUUUUACCUACGCUUAGGAUGUUGACGAUCAGCUGAGCGCG